RNAcentral lists this ribosomal RNA (484 nucleotides) under uncultured bacterium. RNAcentral's name for it is "partial 16S ribosomal RNA". It matches the Rfam family "Bacterial small subunit ribosomal RNA", at positions 28 to 523 of the family's 1533-position model. The record is from RNAcentral.
GACGAACGCUGGCGGCGUGCUUAACACAUGCAAGUCGAACGGAAAGGCCCUGCUUUUGUGGGGUGCUCGAGUGGCGAACGGGUGAGUAACACGUGAGUAACCUGCCCUUGACUCUGGGAUAACUUCAGGAAACUGGGGCUAAUACCGGAUAGGAGCUCCUGCUGCAUGGUGGGGGUUGGAAAGUUUCGGCGGUUGGGGAUGGACUCGCGGCUUAUCAGCUUGUUGGUGGGGUAGUGGCUUACCAAGGCUUUGACGGGUAGCCGGCCUGGGAGGGUGACCGGCCACAUGGGGACUGGGAGACGGCCCAGACUCCUACGGGAGGCAGCAGUGGGGAAUAUUGCACAAUGGGCGGAAGCCUGAUGCAGCAACGCCGCGUGCGGGAUGACGGCCUUCGGGUUGUAAACCGCUUUCGCCUGUGACGAAGCGUGAGUGACGGUAAUGGGUAAAGAAGCACCGGCUAACUACGUGCCAGCAGCCGCCGUAA